GGAAGUAGCUCAGUGAUAGAGCGCUUGCCUGAUGUGCAUCAGGCCCUGGGUUUAUUUCCCAGAACUGCCA
RNAcentral lists this transfer RNA (70 nucleotides) under Heterocephalus glaber (naked mole-rat). It matches the Rfam family "tRNA". Rfam says of the family: Transfer RNA (tRNA) molecules are approximately 80 nucleotides in length. Their secondary structure includes four short double-helical elements and three loops (D, anti-codon, and T loops). The record is from Rfam by way of RNAcentral. Lineage: Eukaryota; Metazoa; Chordata; Mammalia; Rodentia; Bathyergidae.